CACCGGCGGCUCGAGUGGUAACCGUUAUUAUUGGGUCUAAAGGGUCUGUAGCCGGCCGGAUAAGUCUCUUGAGAAAUCUGGCAGCUUAACUGUCAGGCUUUCAGGAGAUACUGUCUGGCUCGAGGCCGGGAGAGGUGAGAGGUACUUCAGGGGUAGGGGUGAAAUCUUGUAAUCCUUGAAGGACCACCAGUGGCGAAGGCGUCUCACCAGAACGGACCUGACGGCAAGGGACGAAAGCUAGGGGCACGAACCGGAUUAGAUACCCGGGUAGUCCUAGCCGUAAACGAUACUCGCUAGGUGUCGGCCACGGUGCGACCGUUGUCGGUGCCGUAGGGAAGCCGUGAAGCGAGCCACCUGGGAAGUACGGCCGCAAGGCUGAAACUUAAAGGAAUUGGCGGGGGAGCACCACAACGGGUGGAGCUUGCGGUUUAAUUGGAUUCAACGCCGGA
RNAcentral lists this ribosomal RNA (449 nucleotides) under uncultured archaeon. Its description in RNAcentral is "bacterial SSU rRNA". It matches the Rfam family "Archaeal small subunit ribosomal RNA", at positions 474 to 922 of the family's 1478-position model. The record is from RNAcentral.